GUCAGUCUUUUGAAUCAGCUGUUACCGCCAACGUUAACAUUCUCUUUCCGCUUGUGAAAUGAUCUUCUUACUUUCCUUUUUAUCGUUUCGUAUUGUCAUAAAUACAUAGUAAGUGUGUUACGCUGUUUGUGUGUAAAUCGAAUCGUUGGAUUAAGAUGGAUGUCAUAUUGAAGAAUCUUUACCUGUCUUUUGCUAACGCUGUUGAGAUGAUAAUAUUGGAAAACAUAGAACCAGUGGACUCAUGAUUUGAAAUGGAGUACUAAGAAAAUGUAUAUCGUCAAUGGAACUUCAGAGGUACGAUUUAGAGAAUCGUAGGACUCAAAUAAAUUACCAACGACGGUUGAAACAACGUUUUUACAGGAAUGAGAAUAAUCGAACAAAGAGCAGAGAGAAUACUGAUCGCGCGAAAAGGGAUGAUGCUGAGAAUAUAAAAUUAUAUAGGAUCGUAAUACUGUUGAA
Long non-coding RNA from Bombus pyrosoma, 459 nucleotides. RefSeq lists it as uncharacterized. Lineage: Eukaryota; Metazoa; Arthropoda; Insecta; Hymenoptera; Apidae. The record is from RefSeq and is a predicted model, not a curated record. The transcript is spliced from 2 exons.